This 513-nucleotide ribosomal RNA is filed under the name Triticum aestivum (bread wheat). RNAcentral's name for it is "partial small subunit ribosomal RNA". Lineage: Eukaryota; Viridiplantae; Streptophyta; Magnoliopsida; Poales; Poaceae. The record is from RNAcentral.
AUGAAAAUUUUCAGCCAGUCGGCCUUCUACAAAGACAUGCGGGCGGCGUGGAAUUGCUCCCAGGUGGUUCGAUUCCGGCCGAUUGGCCCUAAUCUGUUUAUGGUUCAAGUUUACUGUCUUGGUGAUUGGGAUCGCAUCACGGGACAAGGACCUUGGAUGUUCCGCAACAUGGCGGUCCUGUUAGUGCCAUAUGAUGGGUUCACGAACGCUGAAGAGGUGCCAAUAGAGUACAUGCCUAUCUGGCUCCAGAUCCAUAAGCUACCGGACGGGUAUUGCAGACAUGAUCUGAUCGUCAAGUUGCUCCGUUCUGCGGGAGAGGUCCUAGAAACCAGGCUUAAUGGUAACUCCAGAGGAGAUUACGUUCGUGUCAGAGUGAAACAUGACAUCAGGAAGCCUCUCACCAAGUUUGUGAGCAUUGUCAAGGGUGAAACACGUAAGGUUUAUGCAGUGAGAUAUGAGAAGCUGGCAAGGUUCUGUAGUGCAUGUGGUAUCAUUGGCCAUGGGCACAAGGAG